GGAGAAAAAAGGUGUUAAGUGUGUAAAUGUCUGUCUACAGACAAAAGUCCUUCAAGGAAUCUUGUUCUCUCACCAGCAGAAAACCAGGUGAGGAGUUUGCUGCUGCAAACACAAAAUUAUUUGGGUUCUCAGAGGUUCACUCUCAGUGCUAGUCUCAAAGCCCACGACAACAGGCAGGUAGGUGACACAGAUGAGGCAGAUCAGCUGGAAGACAGGCUGGACUGGGGUGUGAGAUGUCCUAAAAACAUUAGUGUCAUCUUUGCUUGCUGGGCUGAGCUGCGAGAAAGGCCGGGGUGGCAGAUCCAUCUCUUUCCAUCAGUUGCAUGGGGAAAGGGCAAUAAAUAAAUGUAUAAACAACACCAAGUCAGUAAAGGUACAGUACUCUACCUUCUUACUUGCUCUGUGCAGACAUCUAUUGAUUCAGUUGGAUUAGACUUUGGGGUUGUGUUGAUUUUCUUCCUGUGCUGCUUCUACAAGCUUACCCUGAAAGGGAAGAGACUCACUGCCUUAGUGGCUCUCUGCAGUUUAUUAUCAGUGCUCUGCCUUUUAAACACAGGUCUUCUCAGCAGGGAACAUGGUGCUUCUCUUCUGCACUUUCCUACUUAAGCUGGUGUUCUACCCCCUUCCCUCGGGAUGAAAUGUGGGGGGUUGCCCUUUACAAGAAGACUCUUCACUGAGUCCUUUUAUACAGAAGAGGCUGAAGUUCAGGUGAGAAAGUUGAAUUUUUUGUUAGUCCCACCCCCACUCCUUGUUAAUUUUGCAUAGGAAAUGUUGCAGGGUGGCAUCUUUUCCCUUCAGCCUUCCCCAAGUUGCACCACUUGCAGCCAUAGGAGCAUUAGGUGCUGCUGUUGCAGGAAAAGGCACAAACGGAGAAAAUUGCCCAUGACUGAGUUCUCCCACUGCCUGGUGAUCUGAAGCACAACCCACCGGGCCCACCAGCUCCUGCCAUGCAGCCGAAUCUCUGCCUGCUCCGUUUCACGCUGGAGUUUGAUCUUAAGCGCCAGUGGAAGGUCAAGGAGGCCUGUGCAGGUGUGGGAUAUGUGCUGCCCAUGAAGUCUGGCCAGCACUGCCUGUACCUCUUCCUCGGCUUUCCUGCUGCUGCCGGAUGGGUUUUCACCCUCAGCAGCAGGAAAAUGGGAUGCCUCAAAGACACAAAAGCCAGGGUUUGGCACAGAGACAGAGGGAUGUCCAGUGGCCACAUCUGUACGUGAAAACAAGGGGAGAAUUUAUGCACACAAAAAGGAGACCUCUGUGAGCUUCACAGGAUAUUCCUGGACAAUUAAAUAUGUCAGUGUUAAUGAAGAAAGAUGGGAGCAGGCUCUGAUGAGGUCCACCCCUCCAUUCUUGUCUUAAACGACCUUGAGGAAAUCUCUUCUGCUCCUCUGACUAUCUGUUAAGUGGGAGUGGUCCUUGCUUUCCUCUCAGAGCAGGCUAAAUCAGUGUUUUGAGGAUAAACACAUCCAAGGUCUGUGAAAUGCUGAGUUUGUAUGGUGACAGAGGCUAUCAAAUGAUGUAAAAACAGAUUUGGGAUUAUGAGGCUUUCCCUCUGGAGACCAGGGCAGCUUCACUCCUGGGAAUUUUGGCUGCAUUGCUGGCUGAGGGCAGGGGUUUAUUUACUGGGUUAACAAUGUCUCUGGUCUACCCACCUCCUCUGGGGACCAAAUCCUUCCAGAUGCUGUGUAAUUAAUAAAAUGGUAGGUUGCAGUUCAUAACCUAUUAAUGACAAAAAAGAUACUAUGAGUUGAUCUCUAUGAGAAGUCUACUUCUUUGAAGAGAAGACUUAUUACAAAUCUCAUGGAACAAAAUUAAGGGGAGAUUGACUUGGGGCUCCCCCUUAAAUUGAAGUUACCUUCCUUGCCAUGUGCAACAAAAGGUUUGAAAUAGAAUUUCAUAAGAAACAGAGCAGAGCAAUCAGCAGCAAUGUCAAGCCCUCAAAAAUGUUGUGUGGGGGAAACUGAGGCCAAAACUGGAAGUGCAGGGACAUUGAAGAACUCUCCAAGAGGCAAGAAGGGAGUGCAGGGGAGAGAAACUUGUAGGCACACUAUCCUAAUGGACAGAUUUAUUCCAACAGUGAAGAAACUCAGAAGGAAGCAAAGCACACUACAAUUCAGAGGAAAAGCCCUGAAAAACAAGGAAAAGACUGCAAAGGUUCUGGCAUCCUUUGCUCCUGUGUCUGGAAGAUAUUCAAGAGGAGUGAGAAAAGGCAAAGGAAGGCUUUGUGGACAGGCAGGUUGCCCUGAUGUGCCACAGUUUUCCUCAUACAUCUGCCCCAAGGUAUGGCUCUGCUUGGAAAUUCAUAUUGGCAUUGAACAGCUUAAAUAACACCGGCAACAACACCCAUCAGAUUCUCUUGAAAAUACCCAGGGCUGCUUGCUACCUGCUGUCCAAGACUCAGAACUCAGCUCUACCCCACGUGAACCUCUCAGGUCUUUUGGGGUGGCUGUGGAAGUGGAUUGGAUUCAGACAAGACCAAACAAGACAGUCACUGAGUCCACUCUGCCAAAGAGAAACUGCAGAAAGCUGGAAAAUGUCACUUCCUCUCCAGCCAAAAUACCCCCAAACCAGGCUUCUGCCUUCAAAUUUGCCCUGUCCUGUCCACAUGCAAACACCAAAGUCAUGGGGAGGCAGCCCUGGAAACUCCUAUUUGCACAGAUCCAACCUGUCGAGCUCAGAAGGGCACUCACAGUUGCACAGAACAACAGCCCAGUGACUUUGUCUAAGGUCCACCACUGUGCUAAAGUGGACUGCAAAAUAAAGAAUCACUUUUUAUUUUAAGUGA
This is a long non-coding RNA of Pipra filicauda (Wire-tailed manakin), 2779 nucleotides long. RefSeq lists it as uncharacterized. The record is from RefSeq and is a predicted model, not a curated record. The transcript is spliced from 2 exons. NCBI's taxonomy places the organism in Eukaryota, Metazoa, Chordata, Aves, Passeriformes, Pipridae.